Molecule: ribosomal RNA, 253 nt
Filed under: uncultured bacterium
Lineage: Bacteria
Description: partial 16S ribosomal RNA
Rfam family: Bacterial small subunit ribosomal RNA
Source: RNAcentral
GACAGAGGAGGCAAGCGUUGUUCGGAGUCAUGGGGCUUAAAGCGCGCGUAGGCGGCCUUGUAAGUGUCUUGUGAAAUCCCACGGCUCACCCGUGGAACUGCAGGGCAAACUGCAAGACUUGAGGUCGGUAGAGGCGCCUGGAACUCUAGGUGGAGCGGUGAAAUGCGUAGAUAUCUAGGGGAACGCCGGAGGCGAAAGCGCGGCGCUGGGCCGAUUCUGACGCUGAUGCGCGAAAGCGUGUGGAGCAAACAGG